Molecule: ribosomal RNA, 575 nt
Filed under: Colletotrichum gloeosporioides
Lineage: Eukaryota; Fungi; Ascomycota; Sordariomycetes; Glomerellales; Glomerellaceae
Description: eukaryotic LSU rRNA
Rfam family: 5.8S ribosomal RNA (bases 203-356)
Source: RNAcentral
GCCGUAGGUGAACCUGCGGCGGGAUCAUUACUGAGUUUACGCUCUACAACCCUUUGUGAACAUACCUACAACUGUUGCUUCGGCGGGUAGGGUCUCCGCGACCCUCCCGGCCUCCCGCCUCCGGGCGGGUCGGCGCCCGCCGGAGGAUAACCAAACUCUGAUUUAACGACGUUUCUUCUGAGUGGUACAAGCAAAUAAUCAAAACUUUUAACAACGGAUCUCUUGGUUCUGGCAUCGAUGAAGAACGCAGCGAAAUGCGAUAAGUAAUGUGAAUUGCAGAAUUCAGUGAAUCAUCGAAUCUUUGAACGCACAUUGCGCCCGCCAGCAUUCUGGCGGGCAUGCCUGUUCGAGCGUCAUUUCAACCCUCAAGCUCUGCUUGGUGUUGGGGCCCUACAGCCGAUGUAGGCCCUCAAAGGUAGUGGCGGACCCUCCCGGAGCCUCCUUUGCGUAGUAACUUUACGUCUCGCACUGGGAUCCGGAGGGACUCUUGCCGUAAAACCCCCCAAUUUUCCAAAGGUUGACCUCGGAUCAGGUAGGAAUACCCGCUGAACUUAAGCAUAUCAAUAAGCGGAGGC